UCCGGCUUGUCGCCGGCGGUCCCUUUAGAGUGCCCAACUGAAUGAUGGCAACUAAAGGCAAGGGUUGCGCUCGUUGCGGGACUUAACCCAACAUCUCGCGACACGAGCUGACGACAGCCAUGCAGCACCUGUGUUCGGUCCAGCCGAACUGAAGGGAUCCAUCUCUGGCUCCCGCGACCGACAUGUCAAGGGUAGGUAAGGUUCUGCGCGUUGCUUCGAAUUGAACCACAUGCUCCACCGCUUGUGCGGGCCCCCGUCAAUUCCUUUGAGUUUUAAUCUUGCGACCGUACUCCCCAGGCGGGAUGCUUAAUGCGUUAGCUGCGCCACUGAAGAGCAAGCUCCCCAACGGCUAGCAUCCAUCGUUUACAGCGUGGACUAC
This 379-nucleotide unclassified non-coding RNA is filed under the name uncultured Alphaproteobacteria bacterium. RNAcentral describes it as "contains 16S-23S intergenic spacer region". The record is from RNAcentral. Lineage: Bacteria; Pseudomonadati; Pseudomonadota; Alphaproteobacteria.